Molecule: unclassified non-coding RNA, 317 nt
Filed under: uncultured fungus
Lineage: Eukaryota; Fungi
Description: sequence contains ITS1
Rfam family: 5.8S ribosomal RNA (bases 1-105)
Source: RNAcentral
GAAAUGCGAUAAGUAGUGUGAAUUGCAGAAUUCAGUGAAUCAUCGAAUCUUUGAACGCACAUUGCGCCCCCUGGCAUUCCGGGGGGCAUACCUGUUCGAGCGUCAUCGCACCCCUCAAGCGCUGCUUGGUGUUGGGCGUCUUGUCCCCCCGUUGCGGGGGACUCGCCCCAAAGACAUCGGCGGCUUGCACGGCGUCCGUGGCCCACAGCACAACGUGGUUGCCCGCAGACGCGCCCGCAAGCGUGCCGCAACCGACGCCCCCUUUUCGUGGCUCCUGGAUGGACCUCGGAUCAGGUAGGAAUACCCGCUGAACUUAA